Molecule: ribosomal RNA, 460 nt
Filed under: uncultured bacterium
Lineage: Bacteria
Description: partial 16S ribosomal RNA
Rfam family: Bacterial small subunit ribosomal RNA
Source: RNAcentral
CCUACGGGAGACUGCAGUGAGGAAUAUUGGUCAAUGGGCGCGAGCCUGAACCAGCCAAGUAGCGUGAAGGAUGACUGCCCUAUGGGUUGUAAACUUCUUUUAUAUGGGAAUAAAGUGCAGUAUGUAUACUGCUUUGCAUGUACCUUAUGAAUAAGGAUCGGCUAACUCCGUGCCAGCAGCCGCGGUAAUACGGAGGAUCCGAGCGUUAUCCGGAUUUAUUGGGUUUAAAGGGAGCGUAGGCGGGUUGUUAAGUCAGUUGUGAAAGUUUGCGGCUCAACCUUAGAAUUGCAGUUGAUACUGGCAUCCUUGAGUACAGUAGAGGUAGGCGGAAUUCGUGGUGUAGCGGUGAAAUGCUUAGAUAUCACGAAGAACUCCGAUUGCGAAGGCAGCCUGCUGGACUGUAACUGACGCUGAUGCUCGAAAGUGUGGGUAGCAAACAGGAUUAGAUACCCCAGUAGUC